GACUAACGCUGGCGGCAUGCAUCAUACAUGCAAGUCGAACGGGAUCUAGUAGCAAUAUUAGGUUUAGUGGCGAACGGGUGAGUAACACGUAGGUAACCUGCCCUCGAGACCAGAAUAACGGGCCGAAAGGCUCGCUAAUGCUGGAUGUGACCCCGUCUUGGCAUCAAGAAGAGGUAAAGGCACGGCCGCAAGGCUUGCGCUGGAGGAUGGGCCUGCGGGCAUCAGCUAGUUGGUGGGUAACGGCCUACCAAGGCUAUGACGGCUAGCCGGCUUGAGAGAGUGAACGGCCACACUGGAACUGAGACACGGUCCAGACUCCUACGGGAGGCAGCAGUAGGGAAUCUUCCGCAAUGGGCGAAAGCCUGACGGAGCAAUGCCGCGUGAACGAUGAAGG
This 394-nucleotide ribosomal RNA is filed under the name uncultured bacterium. Its description in RNAcentral is "bacterial SSU rRNA". It matches the Rfam family "Bacterial small subunit ribosomal RNA", at positions 28 to 414 of the family's 1533-position model. The record is from RNAcentral.